RNAcentral lists this ribosomal RNA (253 nucleotides) under uncultured bacterium. RNAcentral's name for it is "partial 16S ribosomal RNA". It matches the Rfam family "Bacterial small subunit ribosomal RNA", at positions 524 to 776 of the family's 1533-position model. The record is from RNAcentral.
UACGGGGGGGGCAAGCGUUGUUCGGAAUUACUGGGCGUAAAGGGCUCGUAGGCGGCCAACUAAGUCGGAUGUGAAAUCCCCAGGCUUAACCUGGGAACUGCAUCCGAUACUGGAUGGCUUGAAUUCGGGAGAGGGAUGCAGAAUUCCCGGUGUAGCGGUGAAAUGCGCAGAUAUCGGGAGGAACACCGGUGGCGAAGGCGGUUCUCUGGGCCUGACCUGACGCUGAGGAGCGAAAGCGUGGGGAGCGAACAGG